AUGAACGCUGGCGGCGUGCCUAAUACAUGCAAGUCGAGCGAACGGACGAGAAGCUUGCUUCUCUGAUGUUAGCGGCGGACGGGUGAGUAACACGUGGAUAACCUACCUAUAAGACUGGGAUAACUUCGGGAAACCGGAGCUAAUACCGGAUAAUAUUUUGAGCCGCAUGGUUCAAAAGUGAAAGACGGUCUUGCUGUCACUUAUAGAUGGAUCCGCGCUGCAUUAGCUAGUUGGUAAGGUAACGGCUUACCAAGGCAACAAUGCAUAGCCGACCUGAGAGGGUGAUCGGCCACACUGGAACUGAGACACGGUCCAGACUCCUACGGGAGGCAGCAGUAGGGAAUCUUCCGCAAUGGGCGAAAGCCUGACGGAGCAACGCCGCGUGAGUGAUGAAGGUCUUCGGAUCGUAAAACUCUGUUAUUAGGGAAGAACAUAUGUGUAAGUAACUGUGCACAUCUUGACGGUACCUAAUCAGAAAGCCACGGCUAACUACGUG
RNAcentral lists this ribosomal RNA (496 nucleotides) under uncultured bacterium. RNAcentral describes it as "partial 16S ribosomal RNA". It matches the Rfam family "Bacterial small subunit ribosomal RNA", at positions 29 to 507 of the family's 1533-position model. The record is from RNAcentral.